Molecule: long non-coding RNA, 897 nt
Organism: Mytilus californianus (California mussel)
Lineage: Eukaryota; Metazoa; Mollusca; Bivalvia; Mytilida; Mytilidae
Exons: 3
Source: RefSeq, a predicted model, not a curated record
AGGGGAAAGAACUCAUUAAUCUAAUGCAAACAUGGCGGCUAUCCGGGGAAGAUCAAGUUUUGUGUUUACAAAAAGAUUGUUUGUUCACUGUUGGUCACUUAAUGUAAGUGGGAAAAACUGAUUGGAUAAAGAUAUUAAACAGUCUUUAUAGUACAUGUGAAAUAGGAGACUCAUCUGAUUGUGGAAGUUUGUGUAGUUGAAAGGAGUUACAUACAGAUGCUGUUUUGAAUCAUAAGAAAUGACUGAUAUUAAUUCAUUUCUUCAGUUCCUCAUUAGCUUCUUCACAAGGAAUAAAUUGUGUAAGGAGUUCUAUAUUCCUAUUUAAAGACCUAACUUUUUUUUCAAUUUGAGUGUAUGAAAGCAAAUUAAUUGAAUUCAUUCUGAAUACUGAGCUUAUAUAGUUUUAUGUACAUGUAUAUGUGACUUUAUCUUUAUUUGACUUUUUAUUUAUAAGUUAUUUAAACAUUAAUAAUUUUAUUCUUUGUAUGAGAAGCUAUAAUCAAUCGACUACUGUAAAUUCAGAAAUUAUUGCGUGCAUUUAUUAUUGCGAUUUUGUCAUUUUAGACUAAAAUGCGAUUUAAAUUUUUGCGACAUUGAGAAAAAUCCUGUUUAAUUCAUAUAAAAAAUUUCAAAAUGCGAGUUUAAAUUAUUGCGAUUAUAACCCUGUCGCAUUUUUCGCAAUAAUAAAAACAUCGCAAUAAUUUCAGAAUUUACAGUAUAUAUUUUUUUCUCGCCUGGGAUGAAAGUCCGGGAAAGUGAGACAUAAGGGUUCCUUUUCUGGCGACGAUGGCUCUUGCAUCAACAAUUGUUAAGUUUUCUGCUUAAGUUAGUAAGUUUGACAGGUAUUACUUGUGAUAGAUCAUUGAUAUUUAAUAUAAAGUUGUAUUACUAUCAGUA